This 1027-nucleotide ribosomal RNA is filed under the name marine metagenome. RNAcentral's name for it is "bacterial SSU rRNA". It matches the Rfam family "Bacterial small subunit ribosomal RNA", at positions 8 to 1080 of the family's 1533-position model. The record is from RNAcentral.
AGAGUUUGAUCAUGGCUCAGAACGAACGCUGGCGGAAUGCUUUACACAUGCAAGUCGAACGAGUACUUUUUACGAGUGGCGAACGGGUGAGUAACGCGUGGGAACCUACCUUGAGGUAAAGAAUAACUACAGGAAACUGUAGCUAAUACUUUAUGUGCCCUACGGGGGAAAAAUUUAUUGCCUUUUGAGGGGCCCGCGUCAGAUUAGCUUGUUGGUAAGGUAAUGGCUUACCAAGGCUAUGAUCUGUAGCUGGUUUGAGAGGAUGAUCAGCCACAUUGGGACUGAGACACGGCCCAGACUCCUACGGGAGGCAGCAGUGGGGAAUCUUGGACAAUGGGGGAAACCCUGAUCCAGCAAUUCCGCGUGAAUGAUGAAGGCCUUAGGGUUGUAAAGUUCUUUUAGUAAGGAAGAUGAUGACGGUACUUACAGAAAAAGCUCCGGCUAACUCCGUGCCAGCAGCCGCGGUAAUACGGAGGGGGCAAGCGUUGUUCGGAAUUACUGGGCGUAAAGAGCGAGCAGGUGGUUCAUUAAGUCAAUUGUGAAAGCUCAAGGCUUAACCUUGAAAUUGCUUUUGAUACUGAUGAACUAGAGUUUGGGAGAGGAUAGUGGAAUUCUAAGUGUAGAAGUGAAAUUCGUAGAUAUUUAGAGGAACACCGAUAGCGAAGGCAACUAUCUGGCCCUUUACUGACACUCAGAAGCGAAAGCUUGGGUAGCAAACAGGAUUAGAUACCCUGGUAGUCCAUGCUGUAAACGAUGAGUGCUAGAUGUUAGAAGUUUACUUCUAGUAUCGAAGCUAACGCGUUAAGCACUCCGCCUGGGGAGUACGGCCGCAAGGCUAAAACUCAAAUGAAUUGACGGGGACCCGCACAAGCAGUGGAGCAUGUGGUUUAAUUCGACGCUACGCGAAGAACCUUACCAGCUCUUGACAUGCUAAGUUUUGGAUUUAAGAGAUUAAAUUUUUCAGUUCGGCUGGGCUUAGUACAGGUGCUGCAUGGCUGUCGUCAGCUCGUGUCGUGAGAUGUUCGGU